RNAcentral lists this ribosomal RNA (253 nucleotides) under uncultured bacterium. RNAcentral describes it as "partial 16S ribosomal RNA". It matches the Rfam family "Bacterial small subunit ribosomal RNA", at positions 524 to 776 of the family's 1533-position model. The record is from RNAcentral.
UACGGAGGGAGCUAGCGUUGUUCGGAAUUACUGGGCGUAAAGCGCGCGUAGGCGGCUUUGUAAGUUAGAGGUGAAAGCCCGGGGCUCAACCCCGGAAUAGCCUUUAAGACUGCAUCGCUUGAACACGGGAGAGGUGAGUGGAAUUCCGAGUGUAGAGGUGAAAUUCGUAGAUAUUCGGAAGAACACCAGUGGCGAAGGCGGCUCACUGGACCGUUGUUGACGCUGAGGUGCGAAAGCGUGGGGAGCAAACAGG